RNAcentral lists this ribosomal RNA (559 nucleotides) under uncultured Alphaproteobacteria bacterium. RNAcentral's name for it is "bacterial SSU rRNA". It matches the Rfam family "Bacterial small subunit ribosomal RNA", at positions 27 to 619 of the family's 1533-position model. Lineage: Bacteria; Pseudomonadati; Pseudomonadota; Alphaproteobacteria. The record is from RNAcentral.
GAACGAACGCUGGCGGCACGCCUAACACAUGCAAGUCGAACGAGAAGCUAGCUUCGGUUAGUGGACAGUGGCGGACGGGUGAGUAACACGUGGGAACAUGCCUUUUGGUACGGAACAACCAUUGGAAACGAUGGCUAAUACCGUAUACGCCCUUUGGGGGAAAGAUUUAUCGCCGAAAGAUUGGCCCGCGCUAGAUUAGCUAGUUGGUAAGGUAACGGCUUACCAAGGCUACGAUCUAUAGCUGGUUUGAGAGGAUGAUCAGCCACACUGGGACUGAGACACGGCCCAGACUCCUACGGGAGGCAGCAGUGGGGAAUAUUGGACAAUGGGGGCAACCCUGAUCCAGCGAUGCCGCGUGAGUGAUGAAGGCCUUAGGCUUGUAAAGCUCUUUCAGGGGUGAAGAUAAUGACGGUAACCUCAGAAGAAGCUCCGGUUAACUUCCGUGGCCAGCAGCCGCGGUAAUACCGGAGGGAGCUAGCGUUGUUCGAAUUACUGGGCGUUAAAGCGCGCGUAGGCGGCUUUGCAAGUAUAGGGUGAAAUCCCAGGGCUUAACCCUGGA